CAGCUAUGCUAAAAACUCAUUGCUUCAGGGAAAGGACUGAAAAAACAGAAUAAAACACACCAAGAGACGGACUGCUAAUGGAAACGCCAUAUGCUAAGCUCCACCCACUGUUUCGGUCAGAUGCGCUCAGAACUUAAUUGAAAUCUCCCAUUCAUAAAAUUGGACCCUCAUCAACACUCACUCCUGCGAAAAAAUUUCCUCCCAAAAGAAUCAAACGCUCACAGUUUUCGCAGGGACCAUAACAAAAGCUCGGGAGGAAGAGAAUUUGCUCUCGAUGUGGGCACACGAUACCCAUAAGUUAAAUUUCAAACAG
Molecule: unclassified non-coding RNA, 313 nt
Filed under: Hevea brasiliensis (rubber tree)
Lineage: Eukaryota; Viridiplantae; Streptophyta; Magnoliopsida; Malpighiales; Euphorbiaceae
Source: RNAcentral